AGGACGAACGCUGGCGGCGUGCUUAACACAUGCAAGUCGAGCGGUAAGGCCUUUCGGGGUACACGAGCGGCGAACGGGUGAGUAACACGUGGGUGAUCUGCCCUGCACUUCGGGAUAAGCCUGGGAAACUGGGUCUAAUACCGGAUAUGACCUCAGGUUGCAUGACUUGGGGUGGAAAGAUUUAUCGGUGCAGGAUGGGCCCGCGGCCUAUCAGCUUGUUGGUGGGGUAAUGGCCUACCAAAGGCGACGACGGGUAGCCGACCUGAGAGGGUGACCGGCCACACUGGGACUGAGACACGGCCCAGACUCCUACGGGAGGCAGCAGUGGGGAAUAUUGCACAAUGGGCGAAAAGCCUGAUGCAGCGACGCCGCGUGAGGGAGUGACGGCCGUCGGUUCGGUUACGUA
Molecule: ribosomal RNA, 406 nt
Filed under: uncultured soil bacterium
Lineage: Bacteria
Description: bacterial SSU rRNA
Rfam family: Bacterial small subunit ribosomal RNA
Source: RNAcentral